CCUACUCCAGGACCAAGAAGAUCAACGCUCCGUUCUCCCCCAAUGGAGCAGCUGGAUUAGGGUUUUGUUGCUCUCUGAAACUUUGCCCAAAUUGAGUGAAGAUAGAGGAGAGCUUACCAAUGAAUCAUAAUCAAGGGGAUGAAGCGAGGUCUCUUGUUGUUGCGAUUGAGGACGACCCUUUGGCCGAAGUGGGUCAGUCCUCUUCGAAGAGCCAUGCCCGAGAUGCUCACAUAUUAAGUUUAUCUUUAUUCUUCAUCUUCUGUGCUUACGGUGCUGCUCAGAAUCUCGAGAGCACUGUCAACACCAAGGGGGACCUUGGAACAACGUUGAUGGGGAUACUUUACACUUCGUUCACUCUGUUCUCAGUGGUGGCUUCGCCAGUUGUGAGGGGCUUGGGGACGAAGCGGGCUCUGGUUUUG
This is a long non-coding RNA of Asparagus officinalis (garden asparagus), 419 nucleotides long. RefSeq lists it as uncharacterized. The record is from RefSeq and is a predicted model, not a curated record. NCBI's taxonomy places the organism in Eukaryota, Viridiplantae, Streptophyta, Magnoliopsida, Asparagales, Asparagaceae. The transcript is spliced from 3 exons.